Molecule: ribosomal RNA, 253 nt
Filed under: uncultured bacterium
Lineage: Bacteria
Description: partial 16S ribosomal RNA
Rfam family: Bacterial small subunit ribosomal RNA
Source: RNAcentral
UACGGAGGAUGCAAGCGUUAUCCGGAAUGAUUGGGCGUAAAGCGUCCGCAGGUGGCUAUGUAAGUCUGCUGUUAAAGAGUGAGGCUCAACCUCAUAAGAGCAGUGGAAACUACAUGGCUAGAGUGCGUUCGGGGCAGAGGGAAUUCCUGGUGUAGCGGUGAAAUGCGUAGAGAUCAGGAAGAACACCGGUGGCGAAAGCGCUCUGCUAGGCCGCAACUGACACUCAUGGACGAAAGCUAGAGGAGCGAAUGGG